UACGUAGGGUGCAAGCGUUGUCCGGAAUUAUUGGGUUUAAAGGGUGCGUAGGCGGCUAAUUAAGUCAGCGGUGAAAUUCCACAGCUUAACUGUGAGAACUGCCAUUGAUACUGGUUGGCUUGAGUACAGAUGAGGUAGGCGGAAUUGACAGUGUAGCGGUGAAAUGCUUAGAUAUUGUCAAGAACACCUAUUGCGAAGGCAGCUUACUAAACUGUAACUGACGCUGAGGCACGAAAGCGUGGGGAUCAAACAGG
Molecule: ribosomal RNA, 254 nt
Filed under: uncultured bacterium
Lineage: Bacteria
Description: partial 16S ribosomal RNA
Rfam family: Bacterial small subunit ribosomal RNA
Source: RNAcentral